CCCUUAGAUGUUCGGGGCCGCACGCGCGCUACACUGAAUGAAUCAGCGAGUGUAUGUCCUAGGCCGAAAGGUCCGGGUAACCCGUUGAACCUCAUUCGUGAUUGGGAUAGGGACUUGCAAUUGUUUCCCUUGAACGAGGAAUUCCCAGUAAGCGCAAGUCAUCAGCUUGCGUUGAUUACGUCCCUGCCCUUUGUACACACCGCCCGUCGCUACUACCGAUUGAAUGGUUUAGUGAGAUCCUUGGACUGGUCCCGCUGUCGGACAGGCAACUGUUUGCAGCGCGUGCGCCGGGAAGAAGGUCGAACUUGACUAUCUAGAGGAAGUAAAAGUCGUAACA
RNAcentral lists this ribosomal RNA (337 nucleotides) under uncultured eukaryote. RNAcentral describes it as "partial 18S ribosomal RNA". It matches the Rfam family "Eukaryotic small subunit ribosomal RNA", at positions 1470 to 1796 of the family's 1831-position model. The record is from RNAcentral.